ACACGACUACAUUAGAUACCCGUGUAGUCCCAGCCGUAAACGAUGCGCGUUAGGUGUACUGGUGACCACGAGUCACUGGGGUGCCGAAGGGAAACCGUGAAACGUGCCGCCUGGGAAGUACGGUCGCAAGGCUGAAACUUAAAGGAAUUGGCGGGGAGCACCACAACAGGUGGAGCCUGCGGUUUAAUUGGACUCAACGCCGGGAAGCUCACCGGAUAGGACAGCAGAAUGAUUGCCGGGCUGAAGACCCUGCAUGACUAGCUG
Molecule: ribosomal RNA, 264 nt
Filed under: uncultured archaeon
Lineage: Archaea
Description: partial 16S ribosomal RNA
Rfam family: Archaeal small subunit ribosomal RNA
Source: RNAcentral